This 497-nucleotide ribosomal RNA is filed under the name uncultured bacterium. Its description in RNAcentral is "bacterial SSU rRNA". It matches the Rfam family "Bacterial small subunit ribosomal RNA", at positions 29 to 526 of the family's 1533-position model. The record is from RNAcentral.
AAUGAACGCUGGCGGCGUGCUUAACACAUGCAAGUCGAGCGUGAAAGUCCUUCGGGAUGAGUAAAGCGGCGAACGGGUGAGUAAUGCGUAAGAAUCUGCCCUUUAGUGAGGAAUACCUUCGAGAAAUUGAAGUUAAUACUGCAUACGUCUCUAACGAGAGAAAGGUGGCUUUAUGCUGCCGCUGAAGGAUGAGCUUGCGUGCUAUUAGCUAGUUGGUAGGGUAAAGGCCUACCAAGGCAAAGAUGGCUAACCGGCCUGAGAGGGUGUACGGUCACACUGGAACUGAGACACGGUCCAGACUCCUACGGGAGGCAGCAGUGAGGAAUAUUGCGCAAUGGGCGAAAGCCUGACGCAGCGACGCCGCGUGGAGGAUGAAGGUCUUUGGAUUGUAAACUUCUGUUAAGCGGGAAGAAAUGCCGUUUUUUAAUAGAAGACGGCGAUGACGGUACCGCUAGAGAAAGCACCGGCUAACUUCGUGCCAGCAGCCGCGGUAAUAC